UGACAAAAGAGAUGUGGUAUUUCAGGAGAGAGACCUUCCUGGGAGUUUUCCUGGCCACAGCCAAGUUGUUGGCCAUUCAAAACUAAGCAAGGUGGAGGAACCCACCGAGAUCCCAGGUCCCAAACCCUCUCUGAAGCAGUUUUGGAACAAAUAUUCUAAGUCAUCAAUGCAAAGCGAAGCAAUAGCCACCCAAGACACAGUCGGAGCAAUGCAGCAGGGGUGGAGAUUCCGACUCAUACGAGAUCAUCAGUACCUUUCCCCAGAGGGUGUAUGCGGACAACUCCAGGAGCCUGCAGGAAUGUGGGCUGAUCCCCAGUGCCUCCUUGCUGCUGCGGAGAAGAGACCCCUUCCCACCAGAGAGGACAGGGCUGCAAACAGCCUAGCAGCUCCUCUGCAGGAGGAAGGAGCUAUCUUGCGCUGUUAGCUGAAUUACAACAUCCC
RNAcentral lists this long non-coding RNA (441 nucleotides) under Chrysolophus pictus (golden pheasant). RNAcentral's name for it is "lncRNA (ENSCPIG00010001862.1)". Lineage: Eukaryota; Metazoa; Chordata; Aves; Galliformes; Phasianidae. The record is from RNAcentral.